AACGAACGCUGGCGGCACGCCUAACACAUGCAAGUCGAACGAGACCUUCGGGUCUAGUGGCGCACGGGUGCGUAACGCGUGGGAACCUGCCCUUAGGUUCGGAAUAACUCCCCGAAGGGGGUGCUAAUACCGGAUAAUGUCUUCGGACCAAAGAUUUAUCGCCUUUGGAUGGGCCCGCGUUGGAUUAGCUAGUUGGUAGGGUAAAAGCCUACCAAGGCGACGAUCCAUAGCUGGUCUGAGAGGAUGAUCAGCCACACUGGGACUGAGACACGGCCCAGACUCCUACGGGAAGCAGCAGUGGGGAAUAUUGGACGAUGGGCGAAAGCCUGAUCCAGCAAUGCCGCGUGAGUGAUGAAGGCCUUAGGGUUGUAAAGCUCUUUUACCCGGGAUGAUAAUGACAGUACCGGGAGAAUAAGCUCCGGCUAACUCCGUG
Molecule: ribosomal RNA, 433 nt
Filed under: uncultured bacterium
Lineage: Bacteria
Description: partial 16S ribosomal RNA
Rfam family: Bacterial small subunit ribosomal RNA
Source: RNAcentral